This 355-nucleotide long non-coding RNA is filed under the name Scleropages formosus (Asian bonytongue). RNAcentral's name for it is "lncRNA (ENSSFOG00015030153.1)". The record is from RNAcentral. Lineage: Eukaryota; Metazoa; Chordata; Actinopteri; Osteoglossiformes; Osteoglossidae.
UGCAUCCUCCUUCCCAGCUCCUUGUGCAUGGACGUCACAGCUCUGGAAAAACAUCCUGGAUCUGACCGAGCUUACAUGUGUGGAGUCAAGGAGGUCUCCCAUGCUGGAGGUGUCUACAGGCUGAGGAUGAAGCUCAGGGCACAAGGCUGGAGGAGGAGGGGCCACACCCCAGACAGGACACCAGUGACUCGCAAGACACCCCAAGCAGGACUCGAACCCCAGACCCACCUCAGAGCAGGAGCCAGCCAAGCCUACUGGGCCACCACACCCCUGUGGAAAGGGUUGCGGGGAACUGGAGCCUAUCCGGCAACACAGGGCAUAAGGCCGGAGGGGGAGGGGACACACCCAGGACGGG